GAUGAACGCUGGCGGCGUGCCUAAUACAUGCAAGUCGAGCGAACAGAUGAGGAGCUUGCUCCUCUGACGUUAGCGGCGGACGGGUGAGUAACACGUGGAUAACCUACCUAUAAGACUGGGAUAACUUCGGGAAACCGGAUCUAAUACCGGAUAAUAUAUUGAACCGCAUGGUUCAAUAGUGAAAGACGGUUUUGCUGUCACUUAUAGAUGGAUCCGCGCCGCAUUAGCUAGUUGGUAAGGUAACGGCUUACCAAGGCAACGAUGCGUAGCCGACCUGAGAGGGUGAUCGGCCACACUGGAACUGAGACACGGUCCAGACUCCUACGGGAGGCAGCAGUAGGGAAACUUCCGCAAUGGGCGAAAGCCUGACGGAGCAACGCGGGGUGAGUGAUGAAGGUCUUCGGAUCGUAAAACUCUGUUAUUAGGGAAGAACAAAGGUGUAAGUAACUAUGCACGUCUUGACGGUACCUAAUCAGAAAGCCACGGCUAACUACGU
Molecule: ribosomal RNA, 496 nt
Filed under: uncultured bacterium
Lineage: Bacteria
Description: partial 16S ribosomal RNA
Rfam family: Bacterial small subunit ribosomal RNA
Source: RNAcentral